This 263-nucleotide ribosomal RNA is filed under the name Butyriboletus roseogriseus. RNAcentral's name for it is "Boletus roseogriseus 5.8S ribosomal RNA". The stretch from base 111 to 263 matches the Rfam family "5.8S ribosomal RNA". Rfam says of the family: 5.8S ribosomal RNA (5.8S rRNA) is a component of the large subunit of the eukaryotic ribosome. It is transcribed by RNA polymerase I as part of the 45S precursor that also contains 18S and 28S rRNA. The record is from RNAcentral. Lineage: Eukaryota; Fungi; Basidiomycota; Agaricomycetes; Boletales; Boletaceae.
GAUCCUCGGAAGAGGACCUAUGUUUUUUCACAUCACACACCGUCGUAUGUCUAUAGAAUGUAUUGAAGACUUGUCCGGAUGGACGGGUUGGAUAAAUAUAUAAAUCAUACAACUUUCAGCAACGGAUCUCUUGGCUCUCGCAUCGAUGAAGAACGCAGCGAAUUGCGAUAAGUAAUGUGAAUUGCAGAUUUUCAGUGAAUCAUCGAAUCUUUGAACGCACCUUGCGCUCCUUGGUAUUCCGAGGAGCAUGCCUGUUUGAGUGU